Molecule: long non-coding RNA, 702 nt
Filed under: Equus caballus (horse)
Lineage: Eukaryota; Metazoa; Chordata; Mammalia; Perissodactyla; Equidae
Description: lncRNA (ENSECAG00000052266.1)
Source: RNAcentral
CUGCAACAAGUCCAGGAUGCAGUGCAAGCUGCACUGCCACUUAGAGAUCUAGUGAUACUUGAAGUGUCUAUGGCAAACAGGAAUGCAGUAUGAAGUCUCUGACAAGUCUCAAUAGGAGAUCACAAUCCAUAACUCUAGAGUUUUGGGGCAAAGCAACGCCCUCUUCUUUAGACUACCAUUCUCCCUUUGGGAAACAGCCUCUGGCUUGCUAUUAAACUCUGGUCAAGAUGAACCAUGGACCAUCAAGAACUCACGCAACCUGAGGCAGAAGCUAACAGCAUCUUUGUCUGUUUGAAGAAUAGUUAAAUCUUGUUAGGUGAAAAUGCAGAGUUGUUGUUAUAGAAUGGAAGGCCAACUACGUCUAGAAGGAUGGACACAGAUGCAGAACAGCCAAGGAGUGGACUGUGUUAAUUUAUAAGAACCUCACACCAUGGGUCCACAAUGGUAACACUGGCUGGCACUGUUUAAACACCGUGACUGUGCUGGAGAAGGGGUAGGACAAAAUGCCACAGGUGAAAUACAGGUAAAAAUGCCACAACGUUUUCCUAUGGUUUUCAAGUUGCCUUUCAAUUUAUUCAGCAUUUGCUUGGUUGCUGUAAACUUUGACUGUUUUCCAGAGUUCUGACAAACUUGGUUCUGAAGUUUGUUUUUUGAUGUUUCUGUGUGUGGAUAAGAGGUUGGAUCUGCCUUUUUUAUCAGUUU